AACGAACGCUGGCGGCAGGCCUAAAACAUGCAAGUCGAACGAACCUUCGGGUUAGUGGCGCACGGGUGCGUAACGCGUGGGAAUAUACCUCUGGGUGCGGAACAACGUCUGGAAACGGACGCUGAUACCGCAUAAUAUCUACGGAUCAAAGAUUUAUCGCCCAGAGAUUAGCCCGCGUCUGAUCAGCUAGUUGGUGAGGUAAUGGCUCACCAAGGCGACGAUCAGUAGCUGGUCUGAGAGGAUGAUCAGCCACACUGGAACUGAGACACGGUCCAGACUCCUACGGGAGGCAGCAGUUGGGAAUAUUGGACAAUGGGGGAAACCCUGAUCCAGCCAUGCCGCGUGAGUGAAGAAGGCCUCAGGGUUGUAAAGCUCUUUCGGCUGUGAAGAUAAUGACAGUAGCAGAAGAAGAAGCUCCGGCUAAAUUCGUGCCAGCAGCCGCCGUAA
Molecule: ribosomal RNA, 447 nt
Filed under: uncultured bacterium
Lineage: Bacteria
Description: partial 16S ribosomal RNA
Rfam family: Bacterial small subunit ribosomal RNA
Source: RNAcentral